This 450-nucleotide ribosomal RNA is filed under the name uncultured bacterium. RNAcentral's name for it is "partial 16S ribosomal RNA". It matches the Rfam family "Bacterial small subunit ribosomal RNA", at positions 354 to 796 of the family's 1533-position model. The record is from RNAcentral.
GUGGGGAAUAUUCCGCAAUGGACGAAAGUCUGACGGAGCAACGCCGCGUGAGUGAUGAAGGUUUUCGGACUGUAAAGCUCUGUUGUUUAGGACGAAAGUGCCUGUUGCAAACAGUUACAGGUAUUGACGGUACUAAACGAGGAAGCCACGGCUAACUACGUGCCAACAGCCGCGGUAAUACGUAGGUGGCAAGCGUUGUCCGGAAUUAUUGGGCGUAAAGAGCAUGUAGGCGGGAAUCUAAGUCUGUUGUGAAAAUGCGGGGCUCAACCCCGUAUUGCGAUGGAAACUGGGUUUCUUGAGUGCAGGAGAGGAAAGGGGAAUUCCCAGUGUAGCGGUGAAAUACGUAGAUAUUGGGAGGAACACCAGUGGCGAAGGCGCCUUUCUGGACUGUGUCUGACGCUGAGAUGCGAAAGCCAGGGUAGCGAACGGGAUUAGAUACCCUUGUAGUCC